Molecule: long non-coding RNA, 3581 nt
Organism: Lathyrus oleraceus (garden pea)
Lineage: Eukaryota; Viridiplantae; Streptophyta; Magnoliopsida; Fabales; Fabaceae
Exons: 7
Source: RefSeq, a predicted model, not a curated record
CAGCAGAGAAACAGCUUCAUCGUCCUCCUCACUCUCUCUCACCUUGCGAACUCAACCUUAGCUAGCAAUGGUAAUCUCACGCACUCGAAACUCAUCCUUCUUAUGACAUCAACAAAACCCUCUCACGCUCUCAACGAACCCCUCUCAAUCACUCUCAGCUCUCACAAUAUUUCCAACAGCAAGCACAUGAGAAAGAUAAAAAAGAAAGAAAAAGAAGUACUCACAAAGCGUCACGGCGGCGAUGGUGAAGGACGCGAAGAAGCUGGCCUCCAGGGUUUCCAAUGGGGUCUUUGCUGUUCAAAAGGAGUGUUUCUGCAAAGCACUUUGGAUGCUCAGACACAUAAUCACCCUAUCCAUGUUAGAUUCAAGAAAAGUGAAAAUUGGUUACAAGGAGGUUGUGGAUGUUGGUAACAUAUUGUAGUGACAACUUGUGUUUUGUCAUGACUUUAACUUGUUUGUGCAUGAACUGCUGCCAGGGUCUUGAAUGGAACAUACACAUCUCUGUCAUGGUCUGCUUCAUGAAGUAGCAGGAUAUGGUCUUGAUUUGGACUUGUCGAUGCAGAUUGUUGGUUGUUGCUAUAGCAGUUGAUGGUUGAUGCAGGUUCAAUGACUGGGCUGGUUCAACAUAUCUGCUUCUGCCUUCAUUGGGACUUAAUGCAGGAUGGUAUUUUUGCUUCCUGAUUGUACAUCCUUGGAUCCUUCAGGAAGGCCCAUCUUCUCUACCAAAACCUUCAAAGCUGCUUCAGUAGGCAUUCCAUGGGCAACAAACUUAUGCUCUGACUGUGACACUCCGGCAUCAUUACAAACAGCAGCAAUUUUCGCUAUCAUCUGAAGAUUAGCAUCCAAUCGACCAGCUGGCAAAAUUCUCUAUUUGACCAUCAGAUGGAUUAUACGUAGUUCCUUCCACCUUAGAGGCUCGCAGGGUAUCUACAUUAGGGCCACUAGCUACUAGUUUUGAAACAGCCAUCCGGUUUGUUGUCAAUGUACCAGUUUUUAUCAGAGCAAAUCACAGUUGUACAACCCAGAGUUUCGACACUAGGUAGUUUCCGAACCAGGGCAUUCUUCUGGGUCAUUUUGCAAGUACCAAGUGCAAGGCAAGUCGUGAUGACAGCGGGCAAUCCCUCCGGAAUAGCAGCCACAGCCAAUGCCACAGCAAUCUCAAAGUAAUACGUACACUUCUCAAAUGAAAACUUGAAGUUCCACUUUGAGCAAUAGUUCCAAGACAGUCAACUAGUUCUUGCUUAGUCAUACCAAUGCCUGUAUCAGUGAUAGUGAUGAUCCCCAUUAUCCUUAUCAGCUUGAAUUCGGAUAUCAAAAUCAAUUGCAUCCUUCAUCAGGUCAAGCUCUGUAACACUAAAAAAUCGCAGCUUAUCCAAGGCAUCACUUGCAUUACUGAUAAGUUCCCUGAGAAACACUUCCUUGUUACUGUAUAAACUGUUAACAAUAAGGUCCAUGAGCCGACUAAACUCUGCUUGGUAUUCAAAUUUUUCAGCUGGUGGGGAACUUGAUGCAAAUUGUUGGCAAUGCUGCAGGAUCGGUGCCGACUACAACGCUCAAUUGCGUACCGGUUUGAGGCAGCUCACGUCAUAACAAAUGGUUCGGUGGUUCCCUGCGGAGUAGCUCUUGGUUGCAUCCACCUUGGAGGAAAGUCUGAGCAAAGUGCAUCCACCACCAACUACAAUACCCUCUUCAACAGCUGCCUUUGUAGCAUUAAAAGCGUCUUCAACUCUCAAUUUCUUUUCCUAGAGUUUUGUCUCAGUUUGUGCACCAACCUGAGCAAUUGAGCCAUCGGAGUUCUUUAAGGGCAAAGGGAUAUCCAUAGUAACCAGUUUUCCAGAUUUAUGAGAAGCGAUACAGUUACUUCCCAAAUAGAAUCAUAACUGAUGGACCUUUAGCAUGUCCCUUUAAAACCUCAUUUCAAUCACACAAUUUAAGGGAAAUAAAGAGGAUCGUUUUGCUUCCCAUGUUGGGUAUGUUCAAAGCUGCAUUUUCACUGACCGUGUUAUGAUUGAAUAACCGCAACGAACGUUGUUGUUCCAUGUAGCAGUGCAGUAGCAGUACAUGAGUUUUUCGCCUUCUUGGUCAGUUUAGAGUGAAUUACCAAUUGUCAAAGCUAGUUAACAUGGAAGGUUAUAACAAUUGGAUACUUUUGGUUACAGAGUUCACUCUUAAAUCUUUGCAGUCAUGGCAGUGGGCUAGCAACAGUGUAUACUACCUGUUGGGGUUGUGGUCCAGAUUGGCGGUUUCUGUUCCAUAUUUGAAGGGUGAUACACCAAGCUUACUUGGUGAAAUGUUCUUAAGAUUACGGAAAAUGUCAUCACGUCAAGAUUCAAUCAUGUGCAGGUUGGAUUGGUUGCAAAGUUGUAGGCUCAUUUGACUGUGGUGCUGCUACAGCUUAUUAUUUGGUGGCUAUGUGGAGUAGCAACUGGUGUUCACGAAGAAAUAUACAAGUAAUCACACCGAGAGACCCUAAAACUAAUAUGAAUUUCACAAGUUCAUCUUUAGCUGCAGACACUGAUCUUUUUUUUCUCUUCCAACAAAAUUCAAAAGCAGUUCAUGGAUGCAUGCGUAUAUAGAUUCUUCUUCAAUGCUUAGCUUGGCUCCUUGCCGCACUUCGUCUCGCAUAGCAUCCAACAAAGUAUAUGAUAGACAAAACAGAAAAUAAUACGACAUUGAAUAUCGCAACAACUCUCCACUCAGUUUUCAUGUAUUGCGCCACGCCGGCCUUGCAAGAAUCACAACAAUAGCAUUUGAAAGCUCGAGAAUUUUUUUGUACCGCUUGCAGUCAUGGUUAGGACUAACUGGAUGAAAGCUCAAGUCAUAGUAAGAUGCAUUUACAGCAGGAUAUCCACACUCAGAAGGCGGCCGACAGCAACUAGAUUCAAUUGGACUCAAAUCUUCAAUCUCUGCAAAAUAGGUGACUGCCCAAGCAAUGGCAGGAAAGCCAUCCAAAUUCAACCGGUUGCCAUGCAUUUUGCAGAUGAAUGCCAUCUUAGGCAUGCAACAUCAACAUGAGCAUUGCAUCUUGUUGUGGUUGAUGUGCUGCCAAUACUUACCUUGCUGUAGGAUUUUAUUAUCGACAUGGAUGAACUGCUGUCAUGCUGCAGAUUGUGUUGUUCUGCAAGCCUAAACCAGUACUUCAUGGCUUGUGCUUUGUAGGUUUGUGAUAGUGGUCAAGGCAUUUGCAAGGUUACUUGUGAGCGAAGCAACAAGGUGAAAGCACAAUCAACAUGUCUACUGGAUGAUUAAUCAAGGCAAAGUAACAUGGGAUUAUGUCCAAGUUUGGGAAAUCAGGGCUUCAGAAUUUUAGGGUUGACUUUGGUCAAAGUUGACCAAAAAGUCAACUGUUGACCAAAGUCAACAAAUGGUCCAAACUCAUUUUCUUGGCACUUUCUUUGUAAAUGGACAAUGUAUUGAUAAUCAUGGUGAAAUUUAGGGUAUUUGGAUUUUGGGUGACUUUGGUCAAAGUUGACCAAAAAGUCAACUGUUGGUCAAAGUGUCAAUUUUUGUGUAUUUUUGUAUGGAAUCAAAUGUAAUAAAAUUGAAAUGGAUUAACAAAAUGGUUUGAAGUUGGUUUCCAA